CGUGUCUCUAGUGUCAGCCGCCGCGGUAAUACAGAGGAUGCAAGCGUUAUCCGGAAUGAUUGGGCGUAAAGCGUGCGCAGGCGGUUAUGCAAGACAGAUGUGAAACUCCCCGGGCUCAACCUGGGAACUGCAUUUGUGACUGCAUAGCUAGAGUACGGUAGAGGGGGAUGGAAUUCCGCGUGUAGCAGUGAAAUGCGUAGAUAUGCGGAGGAACACCGAUGGCGAAGGCAACUCCCCUGGACCUGUACUGACGCUCAUGCACGAAAGCGUGGGGA
RNAcentral lists this ribosomal RNA (275 nucleotides) under uncultured bacterium. Its description in RNAcentral is "partial 16S ribosomal RNA". It matches the Rfam family "Bacterial small subunit ribosomal RNA", at positions 494 to 767 of the family's 1533-position model. The record is from RNAcentral.